AUGGAAGGGGAAAGAGGGAAGGAGAUGAGAGAAAAUGCAGGAAAGUGGAGGAAAAUAACCAAAGAAGCAGUCAGUGAAGGUGGAAGCUCUGAUAGAAACAUCGAGGAGUUUGUUGCUAAAUUGAUUGAUAAGUUGUAAGAGAAGUUACCUGUGGCAGUAUGGAGAAAAUUCAAGUAACCAAUUCUUGCUUACCACAGGAUGAUAAAUGAUGUUGCAUAAUAGUGACGAUAUUAUUCAUGGUCAUGAGAUUCAUUAGGUAACAUCUUGGUACAUCGAUGAAUCUAAUCUCGAAUGACACAGGAUCAUAUAUCAAUUAACCUAAACCGCAACAAAUCAUUUUGAAUAUAAUACCAACCUCAAGAUAAUUGAAAAACCACUAAACUUCUGUUUUCCACUCUUAAUUAUUCCAAUAACAAAAUCAUCCCUAAUCUUCUCAAAGCAAUCGCUCCUGCCAACACCAUAAAUGAGUAGGCCUCAAAGCUGAGUAAGCCGGCCAGCAGCACAGUAUGCCAUCUAACAUCUAAAUGAGGAAUUGUCCACGCUAUUCCAGUAAAAUCGUGGUUGAGGCUAAUGCUAUCCGAUGCAUACCCACAAAUUAUAUCGAAGUUGCACUGGUAAACCAAUAGUGAGCUUCUGUGUUCAGGAGUUUAUGGUGUGGCAAAACCUCUAUUUUUUUCUUUCCAGCAUUCAAACUUUGAUCUGAAGUGACAAAGCUUAUGGUAAACAGCUGUGUCGUCGACGUUAAGGACCGGAUCAUAAUCUGUAUCUACACACUGACAAGGUUCAUCCCAGAACAAUGUAAUUGAUAGGAUUAUCUGAUACAUGAUGAUCCUGCGUGUCAGGGCGUUUGAAAAUGAGGUUGAGAUGUGAUCUCUAACGGUGAUUUGACGAACCUCUCUAUCUCUCCUCAUCGUGGGACUCUCCCUUUGUUUUCUGGUGCUCGUACUCUACCGGGUUUGAAUGCAUGGUUAGUUUGUUCAUCUUCUUCAUGUUGAGUUGAGAGUAUUCUGAUCAACACGUGUCUCCUUGAAUUGUUUGUUUAUUUCCUUUUUUCCCUUUUGUUGGAUACUCAAUAUCAACCAAACUUGUUCAUCCUUUCCAGCGAAAGCGAAAAGGCCAAUCCUGAUCCGAUCUCGGACCAGCAAAUAUUGAAAAUGACAAUUUUCAACGAAGGAAACACUUAAUUCAUCUCAUCAUGCAAUUGCAAGUUAAGAAUUUUGAUACAUAUGAAUUUUACACGCAAUCUCCUAGAGUUCAGAGUAUGUACCCUUAUUCCUUGCCAAAAAAAAGAAAAACAAAGGAAAAGGUAUUUUCUUUCCUAUUCUAGUAGAUUUCUGAAAGAGUUUUUUUUUUUUUUUUGAUUGAGAGAAAACUGUAAUCAUUACUCAAAAGGAUAUAGACUUUCAUGACAAAGCAAAUCAAAGUAGAGAAAAAGUCAAAAUACUACAAAAAAAGACAAAUUCAGAAAAUAAAGAGAAUCAAUAGAGUACUGGUAGGGUUAAAGAUGUUUGAAAGAGUUUGGAAGUGUAAAAAACUAUUGGUAUGGGUCACUUGAUUUUUCAAUGAUUUGUUGGGAGAUAAGUACACUAUCAGUGCCAUAAAUUGUGUACGACACUUAUUUUGGUGCAAAAAGUUUUUAUCAGAUCACUUAAGUGUCAAAAAGUUUGAAAAACGAUCAUUUUAAUGCCAACUCCGAUCUGGUUGACCAGAAAUCCGACGUGACACUUUUUUAUUAAUUUUUGAAGUUGAUGUGGCUCGCUGGAGAGUACAGUUAGCAUCCUAACACCAAAAUGACACCGUUUGGUGUCUCUCCCGAUUCAAAACCCUAAAUCUCCAGACAGUUGCUGUCCUCGACGGCCCCCGCACUCGGCGGCCGCGACUCUGACCUCGACCCCGACCCUAACCCCAACGAUAGCCACUUAGCGACCGCGACUACGACCCUGACCCCGAUCCCAACCCCGACGAUGGCCACUCGGCGGCCAUGGCUCCAACCCCGACCCUGACGAUGGCCACUCAGCAGCUAUGGCUUCAACCCCGACCCCGACCUCAACGAUGGCCACUUGGCGGCCGCGGCUCCGACCCCGACCUCGGCCCCGACCCCGACCCCGACGAUAGCCACUUGGUGGCUGUGGCUCCAACGUCGACCCCGACCCCAACCUCGACGACAGCCACUCGGCGGCCAAGUCGAAGGCCGUGAUCUGGCCGGUGCUCGGGGAGGCCACUGAUGAGUGCGCCACCAUUGAUGUCUCCCUCUCCAUUUUCGAUCUCUCUGACGAGUGCCUAGCCUGCAUCUUCCAGUACCUAGGCUCCGGCGACCGGGGCUGGUGCUCCCUUGUGUGCCAUUGAGGGUGUCCGAACAAUGCCAAGCAAUGGCGGCCUAGCAAUGGCAGAGGUCGAGUGACGACGACCAAGUGAGCUAGGUCGGAAAAACCCUAAUUUCAAUCCCCAAAUAAAUUCAACCAAAAAAAAAUCCCUAAAUAAAAAAAAAUCCCCAAAUGAGUUAAACGGCGUCGUUUUUGUGAGGCCAUCCACGUAGGACGGAAAAAUGACGUCGUUUUCUUAAAGAGGACCGAAAAUGACGUCGUUUUAUAGCAAACAGAACUUUUUUUUUUAAAUAAAAAAGUUACGUAAUUAAUUUGGCCGGAAUGUCACGCCGGUGGCACCAAAGUGAUUGUUUUUUCUCUGAUUUGGCACUUAAGUGAUCCGACAGAAACUUUUGGCACCAAAGUGAGCGCCGUACACAACUUAUGGCACUGAUAGUGUAGUUCCCCUUAUUUGUUGGCAACAUACUUGACACUUUAUGGAAACGCUAACUUAGUUUUUGUUCAAAUUGUUAAUUUUGUAUAUCUUUCACAACUUUUAAUUGUCUUCGUUACUAAUACUUGAAAUUCACCAAUUCUUAUAAAUUUACUAAUCAUUAUUUGAGUGACUAACCGGCUUUUUUCCUAUAUCUUUGACUAGAAUUUAUUAAUCUUUCUUACUAACACAUUAAAUUGAUCUACUAUUUUGUGAAAUGACUUACAUUUAUUAGAAUAACUGACCAACUUUUUUCCCAAGUAAUCCAAUUAAAGAGUUGGUAUUUAAAGAAAAAAGAUACAUAAGGUUGAUAACUUACUCAAAUGAGAGUUGAUAUUUUAGAACUAAUUGAUAACUUAAGAUUGUGUUUAACGGUCAAGAUAAAAUUCAUGAUGGGAUAAAAUUUAUUAUAUCUUGUGUUUGGUGUCUACUCAAGAUAAAAUAAAGUCGGAUAUAAGAAAGAUAUAUCCCAAAUAAAAUUAUCCCAUAAGGGAGAUGUAUGGAUAAGAUUUCUAAUAUUUAUAAUAGAAAAUUUAUUUUUCCCAAACGAAUUUUUUAUAUUAAUAAAAUUAAAAUUAUGUUUCAAUAAAAAUAAUAUUUCAAUUGUAAUAUAAUAAAUUCAACAUAGCAAAAAAUAACAACAAUUCAGUUUUUUAAUUUAAUAUUUUUUAUAUUUAUAUAUUUGAAUUCAAUCUAUCUUAUAACAUAAAUUCAAUAGAUAAAUAUAAAUAUAUAUUUAUCACUUUACAUAUUUUAGGAAUUUUAGUAUUUUAAGUAAAUUAGUACAAUUUAUUAUUUAUUAAAAUUUUAUUAGAGAAUGAUGGAAGGGGAAACAAGAAAUAAAAAAUAAAAAAUAAUUAAUAUUUUUUUUAACUGCAAAUAAGAAUGAAGUAGGUAACAAUGUGGCAAGAAAUUUUUACCAUUGUCGUUUCAACAACUUUUAGGUUCAUUUACAUUAAUAUGCAUUUUAUAUCAAAUAAUGUACAUGAUAUAAUGUUAAGGAAAAAUCUCAAAUAAGAGCCUAAAGUGGGUUCAUUUUCUCAAAAAAGAACCCAAAGUGGACACUAUAUCAAAUAAUGACCCAAAGUAGCUAAUUUUGUCUCAAAUGAAGACCCAAACUUUUAAUCUUAUUUACAGCUUGAGGUAGUUUUGUCCAAGAACAUUUUUUCUUUAAUUUUUUUUUCUUUCUUCAUCUUCCUCACACCUCCUCCUUCACUCUACAUUGCCUCCUUCUUCAACACCAUAAUCAGGGCCCCUACCAACGACCUCGUGAACUUCAUGUCAUCACGUAGUUGGUCCUAGUGACAAGAAGUCGGAUUGGAGUUAUUAGCUACUGGUCACCUUCUCGGAUACUAAAAUCCUCAAUUCCUCAAGAUGCAUCAAAUCUCGGCUCGCUUGUGCUCAACCUAAAGCUCAGAUUGACCUCCAUCUAACAACGACGAUGCUGGAUUUUCUAUCGGGGGCAACAGUCAAUGAGGUCGAGAGCUCGAAUAGGACUUGUUAAUGCUAGCAAUGGGGCAAUGAAGUACAACAAUUUCUACAGUUAAUGAUGUCAUAUACGAUUAAUGAUCAAUCUCAAGAUGGGGUUUGAUUGAGGAGAAGAACUGUGUUGAUGAGAAUGGCAAGAGUGUGAGUGAGUGUCUCCAAACUAGGGAUUAUUGAAAGGAGCCAUUGUCAUUGCAAAGGGGAAGGGGGAUCUUUGAAAGAUUGAAUUUACGCAAGAGAGGCAAACCCAAAUUUGAAAUUGAUGAGGCAAACUCUUGCCGAGGUUGAAAUAGUCGCCAACUAAAACAAAAUUGUUCUUUGGCAUGAAAUUAUUGAUCACCAAGUGUUAAUUGAAUAAAGGCAUAAGUUAGUCAAACAAGACGAUCUGGCAAUGCUUGGAUAUUGCUACUCUGUUGUUGGCAAGCAAGACCAAAAACAACACAAAAAAUUGUAAUUGCUGGGUUAGCAGAAGGCCUGGAAUAAGUGGAGUUCGAUGCACUCUCGAGGUGAGAGAAAUACAUCGCCAAAGGGAUUAGUUGCAUAGCUUAGGAGUUGGACAAGAAGUUGAGUCUCAACAAAAGCAAAUUCAUAUUAUGGGUUUGAGAUUAGAAUUUGCGAUGAAUGUUGGAAUAAAAAGAACUUAUUUUUGAAAGCUCAUUUCAACUGCGCGGAAUUGUCUACAAACCAUUUUGAGGAGCGAAAUUUAAAAUUUUCAAUGAAUUAGACUACAUUGUAAUGGCUUAUGUUAAAGAAAACCCAAUCUUGGUCAUAUAAUGAGAUGACACAAAGAGCGAUGGAGGGGCUGAUAAUGGAGGUGAUGUAGAGAGUGAGAAAGAUGAAGAAAGAAAAAAGAAGAAAGAGAGAAAAAAAAUAAACAACAAUGUUCUUGGACAAAAGUACCCUUGAUUGUGAAUAAAAUUAGAAGUUUAGGUCCUUAAUUGAGAGUAAGUUAGCCACUCCGGGUCCUUAUUUGAGACAGUGUCCACUUUAGAUCUUUUUUUGAGAAAAUGGCUCCACUUCAGGUCCUUAUUUGAGAUUUUCCCUAAUGUUAAUAUUAUUUAUUAUUAUGCUUCACCAAAUAAUAGAUAAGAUAUAACAAAGUCUCUAAAUUUCAAAUCAUAUCCUAUCUAGUCUUAUUGUAAUUAAAAAUCUAGAUGGCCAAAUGCAACCUAAUAGGACAAAAGUAAAUAAAUCAAUUAUAUUAAAAUUAAUUUUUUCAAAUAAGAGUUGAUGAACUUAGUCCAUAAUAAGAAAGCUAAAUAAAAAUUGAUAAAAAAAUGAUAAUUAAAAGAAAGACGAACUUGAUAAGUAACUCAAAUGACAGUUGGUAAUCCAAAACUAUUAGAUCACUUAAUCUUCAAAAAGUUAAUAAGAAACCCUAACUAAGAUUGGUUGUUCUAAAAAUAUUUAGUAAACUUAAAGCAUUGUUAAGAAAUGCUAAUAAAGAACCUCAAGGGUUGGUGCAGUUGGCACUCGAGGGCUUUUCAGCUCAAGAACUAGAUUUCACUCAAUCGAAUCUCCUCAGAUAUACAAAAUUGUUAUGGGGUAGGGCCAUCUAUAUAGACAAAAUGAAUAGACUUAAUUGGUUCAUGAUUCUUGCAUGGUAUUUUAUAAGCCUCCGGGUAGCAAACUCUCCAUGACACGCUCCUAUUUUGUACAAAGAAAAGCAAAUGAAUUUAAAGUUAUUAAUCCAAAACUAGUCAGCAAUCUAAUCUGACAAAAGCAUAUAAUUUAGUUGGUAAUUUUUUUAAAAGAGGUAUUUUUAAUAAGUUAUGGAAAUAAAGUUGGUAAGUUCAUAGAAAAAUUUAUAGUUUGCAAAGUGUUGGUAAGUUACCAACAAAUUGACUAAAAAAGAUACACGGUUUGUUUUUUUAUCAAUAAUUUAGACAUUGACCGAUACUUACUGGAUUUUAUGAGUAUGGAAAGAAUGCGCACUUUUUGGCAUGGAAUAUAUUGUGCAUUACAUUAGUAUCAUUCUACUCUUUUUCUAAAAAAAGGGUAAAAGAAAACGACAAAUAUUUUAGUAGUGAGUGAGGAAAAUUUCAAAUAAGGACAUAAAAUACUUUCAUUUUCUUAAAUAAAGGUAGAAAUUAUUUCAAAUAAUGACCCGAAGUGCCUUCAAUUUCUCAAAUAAUGGUCAGAAGUGGAUCUUAUUUGAAAUGAGGGUUUAAAGUGUCCAUAUCAGUUUCAAAGAAAUGCCUAAACUCAUUGGCUGUGAAGGGCAAUUUUGUCUUUUAAAAUUUCUAUUUUUUCUUUCUUUUUCCUUUUUUCUUUUCAUAAAAAAAGUAAAACACAGGUGAGAGGGAGUGCCAUGUUUUUUUUUUAAGUUUUUCUUAAUUUUUUUAAUAUAAUAUUAUUUAAAUUUAAUUUAUGUUUUGAUGAAAAUAUCCCUAAUCGAUUGGAAUAUUUUGCCAACAAGUGAGAUUAGGCCCUUUUUGAAAUAAUUAUAACCAUUUCAGGCUUUUUUUUUUUUGGGAUUAAUAUGCACACUUCUUGCCCUUAUUUGGAACUUUCCUAAUGACUGACCUAAAAAUUGCUGAGAUGAGAUCCAAGAAGAUAUUCUUCUUUUAGGAUCAUUGGACCAUGGACGUCAAUGCCAAUAAUGGCAAGUGGAUAAAUAGCUUUGAGAGUGGACGUAUUGAUGUGAUACGUUACAAAUAAUGAUUAAUCCCUGUUUGGUGCAACUCAUUGGAGCGUCAGAAGAAUUUCAUGGUUACGAUUUUCUAAACAGCUUAAAUCAAUUUACAGGGUCUAUUAAACUUUUCAUGCACAUCUAAAUAGUUAGUUUUUUCAUACUCUUGUCAGUAAACACCCCUCACAAGAAGACAAGAAGAAGAAAAUUUUCCGGGCCCCGCACUGAUAUUGGAACACACCAGCAUCGCUCAAGUACCCACUAAUCACUGCUGCUACAUCACAGGUAAGACCAUGGACACUUCACUUAAUUGCGAGAGAAACGCAAGAAAAUGAAGGAUUCAAGUAAAUCCCCGAAACCACAUGGCUUAGUUCUAUCAUGGCCAGCCCAAGGCCACAUCAACCGCACACAUGCUCCAAUUCGCCAAGCGUCUACUCCACGAAGGAGUUAAAGACACUCUUGUCACCGCCAGAUCAAUGUCCAAGACCCUUCAUGGAUCCCCACGUACCUCCAUUGCCCCCGAGAGAUACUCCGACAGCUUCGACGGCGGCGGCAUGAAGGCUGCCACAAGCAUCGAAGCCUACCUCGAGCAUUUUUGGAAGGUCGGCCUCGACACCCUGAGUGAGCUGGUCGAGAGGCUAAUCUCUGGCGGUCCACUGCCGAGUUGCGUUGUCUACGACUCGUUCUUGCCUCGCGCUCUUGAAAUGGCCCAAAAGUUUGGGCUGCUUGGGGGCUGCUUGUUCCACCAGUUCUUGAGCUGUGAUCAGUGUGUUUAACCACUACCAAAAGGGACUGCUUGAGGUUUCAGUGAGGAAGCAAGUUUUGCUUCCUGAAAUGCCUCCUCUCGAGCCACAAGGCAUUCCAUCUUUUGUGUGAUGUGGGGGUCAUACCCACAAUUCUUUGGCAUGGUUGGAGGGAACCAGUUCUCCAAUUUAGAGAGAGUGGGUUGGGUGCUCUGCAAUGCAGUGUAUGAGCUGGAACAAGAAGUACACAACUGUAUGGGAGCUCCCAAAUUGCAGAUUAAUUGAACGUACAAGGUAAAAUGGACUGUAUAGGACCUUCUCGACGUAUAUGCUUUGGUGUAUUUUGCAUACAUAGGUCAAGUAUUUAACUGACAAUCAUUUAAAGAUAUCAUUGUCGAUGUUUGACACGACUUUGUUAUCAAGAAAAAGAAAAUGACAAGUUAUCACUCAAAUUGUCUGGCUUAAAAGGGACAUUAGUUUUAAGGUUUGUUAUGAAGUGCUACUUGAUGAAGUUAUAAAUUGUAGUGAAUAUAUAGAGUGUGAUUAUUUGAAAGAGGCAAAUAGGGAUUUAAUAUGAAAUAUUAAGUGCCAAUUUGCAUGAGUUGAUUAACAAUCGAGAAAUAUUUCGAGAGUGAACGACUGUAUUUAAAUGAGGUUAAUUUCAGAAAAUGAUAAGUUAUGACAUGCACAUUUUUUUUACAUCAAUUGAUAUAUUCAGGUUAUUUAGGUAAUUAUUAAUAUGAAUGGAUUAUAGAUGAUUUUGUGAAAUUUAGAUUAGGUCACGAAAUUUGUGAUGCACAGAAAGUUUGAACGUACUUACCUUGUCUGUAAUUUUUGAGGGAGUGAUUGACAUGUCUAGUAAUUUUUAACUGGUUUAAAAUUUAUAAAAUGCAAAAUUUUAUGGAGUAAUUAUGUAAUUAUAGAAAUAUGGAAUUAUAUGAAAAUAUUUUUAAUUUUUAUGAUUUAGGUAAAUUUAAUCAAAGCGCGGUCUUAGAAACAAAAAUUAUAUGAGUUACUUAAGUUAUUGAAAAAAAUAAUGUUCUAAGGCUUAAUUCUUCUAAAUGAUUUAUAAAAAUUCAAAAUUUCUCAAUUAAAUGAUGAUGGCAUGGUGUUUAGCGGAUGAAGUUUUGUAUAUUGAAAAACAUGAAACCAUUUGAUUGGCACUAUUUACACGAGAAACGCCAAGAAAUUAUACUAUUUGCACUCUAAUUACAUGACGAUUGUUAUGUGAUAAUGAUUUGCACUUGAUGGUAAUGACUGUUUCAUGAAUAAGAGUUUGUUUUUAGAAAUGAUGAUAAAUGGAUACUUGGUUUCUAUCAAUACUAUGGAAAAUGCCUAGAGAUUAGUGUGAAAAAAAUUUACAUGUUAUUAUUAAUUGUACAUGGUAAUUGUUAUCAUGAUUUGUAUAUCAAAGAUGCCAUGGAAUGAAUACUUCUGCCACAGCCUAUUCAUCAGAGAGCGAAUUGCCCUACAUGAGCAUGUGUAUUAGACUCCAGAAAAAGAAAAAUGUUUUAUAAUCCCUGAUAGUUUUCUAUUACUACAAGGUUGAGAGAAUAAUAAAUCUUAUGGUUCAUACAAGAAAUGAUAUAACUUGUGCAGCCUAAUGAGGCUUGAGCAGCAUAAUAUGAGAAUGAGUAUAGAAUAGCAUUAUCAUGCAGUUGUACAAUUGUGUAUUUAUACUUGCUAAUGUAGAGGGCACCAUGAUGGAUAGGUUAAAGUGGGGGCAAACAUGUGUUUAUGAUUCCAUCCUCAUAAGUUGGUGAUAACGGUGGAUACUCGUGAUGGAUGGAUUAAGGCGCAGCAAAGUUGUGGCUAUGAUGUUUAUCCCCAUGAGUUGAUGAUGACGAGACAUAAUUAAUCAAGAUGAAUUCUGGCGAGCGAUGAGUAGAGAAUAGAUAUACACCUACGCGGCUUGCAAUGCACAAUAGGUCGGUCAAAAGACAGAUUGAUCCAGUGGAAAAUGCCUGGUCCUCCUACUUGCUGUGCGUGAAAUUUAAUUUCGAAGAGUAAGAGCCACUUGUUUUUGGGUUGUCCUUUCUCUGUUCAAGCCCAGUGUACGAUACUGCAGCUUCAUCAAGUGCCGAGAAGGGUUGCCGACUGGUAGCUUGAGGUUGAUUGGGUUGUGGCCAGCUAGGAAUGGUUGUUUGCCCUCUCCUACCGCUACUUCUAUUAGAACUGCUUCCAAUGGUUCUCAGAUAAGAAGACCAGUGCAGAGUAGGUUGGCUAGAUGUGCUCUAGAAGCUCCGCCGGUUUCAUCCGAAAGUACAACGAUAUAGAUAUAGUCUAUGAAAGCGUACAGAUAAACCGCUAGCGCUUCUCUAUUCAACAGCAUAUGAUCCAGCUAAACCCCUAAGUAUCCAAAUAUUCACAUCAAUAAGGGUCCUAAAUAUCUAAAUAUUCACAUCAAUCAGGGUUUAAUCUUUUACUUUUCUACUCAUAUAUAUACUUGUGAUGGAGAAUUUCACUUUGAAUAUCUAUUUUUAUACUUACUAAGGUCCGAUUGAGCGCAUCUGUAAUUUAUGAAUAGCUAUAUUGCUUUAGAGAAAGUAGAUCUAAUAAAUAAGGCUUUUAGCUCUAUCUUAUAAGGAUGCUCAACAGUCUCCGUUUGUUGUGCUUAGAGGAUUCGAAAUUAAUUUUUUUCCAUAGUUCUAGAAUUUCAAAAUCCUAUAUAAUUAUCUUAGAGAUUUGGAUUGCCUCAUUUCCUUUUUAUUAAAUAUUUGAUUAGAUUUCAGAUAGCAUUUUAAGAGAUUUUCUUUACUUGUUUGAAUAUUUCCAAUAAAGUUUGUAUUUGAGCUGGGUGCGUGUAUUAUGAGUUUUCAUGGCUGGAACAAGAUCAAUAAAGUAAUGAUCUUUAUAUGAUGAAAUUACACGAACGUUCAUUUAACGUGUCUGUUCCUACACUUACGUGCAUGCUGACAAUCUUCAUCCAAGACCCAUGUAAUGAUAAGAUCCUAGGCAUGAUGAUCUUCAAUGGGGCUGAACUAAAAAUUAGGUGGGGAUAAAAAUCUCUCACGACAGGAUCAACACGUUAUGAUUUUCAGUGGGGGCUGAAAAUCAGGUUGGGAUGAUAUGGCCUUUUGUAGUGGUUCCAUGAAGCUCUCUCUUCAACUUGUAACUCGUUUCCAUUUGUUUUCUACCAGGGUUGAAUGGUUGGUUUUGUUAUCUCCUUUUCGUGAGGAUUCUGGUCACAAUUUACCUUCAUGAUUACCUCUUGGACAUUUUUUUUUCUUUAACAUUCUUUGCCCGAUAUUUGUAUAUUGGCCAAAUUUUCUUCACCCUCUCCCUUUGAAAGAACAAGAUGCUAAUCCUUAUUCACUGUCGGACCAGCAAAUCUCGACACCAAGGUGUUCCAACAUAUGAAUGACUUAAAUUAUUUCAUUGCGGUGACACUUUAGAUGUACUGUUGGAUGUAUAUAGCUAAAAACUCAAAAAGUGGCAAAUUCUACGUGCAAUCUGCUGUUGUAAGCGAUUUGCUGUUAUCAUUUCACUAUUUUUCUUGGGAAAAAUUAUUGUUGGCCUUGAAAAUUUGCAGACUCUGUAGUAGGUGUUCUGGUGUCUGAGCUUUCAAAUCUUGGCAAGUAGACAAAAUGCGUUGGGAUUCAAGUACCUUGUUCAAACUAACAACGAGUUGUCUCCACGAGAGAAGUCGCUCCCGAGAGUUACUGGCACAUUUGUUUCAUUGAAAACUUCAUUCUAGAGUAAAAUAUAUUUUGUAGAAAUUAUUUUUCUUGAAAAUUUUACUUUUUGGUUUUUUUAUUAUUUAAGAAAAUUGAUUUCUUUUUUAAUCAGAAGGUUUUUUCCUAAUUCAAGCUUAUCAUAUUUAGUUCAUGGAAAAUGUUUUUGAUAGAUUGAUUAACUUUUCAUCAUCAGAACAAUGAAAAGUUGAAAAACAAAAACAAUUUUCCCUCAUAUGGAUUUUAAAUCUGCCCUUCACAAAUGUCAUGUAUAUAUGAUGUAUAUUCAUAUUUAUCUAAACAAGAUUCUUGAGCGUCGCAAUACAAUUAGCAUUGUUUGAGUCAAAAAUCGCACUGCAUGUAAUCUCCUAUGAUAUCGAUUAUCAUUAUUAAUUUUCUCAUCUUGGACUUGCCUAUUAGAAAGCUUCCAAUGCUAUGUUCGUCUGAAACUAAAUCUUCUUAGAACUUCAACUUCGCACGUUUCUUCUAUUUGAAAUUUUUUUCCCUUCUUUAUGUUGAUAUUUUAGCGAAAAUUCUAUUUAUGAUACGAUAUCGAGCAACGCAAGUCACCUAAUCAUCAAACUGCGAGUCUCCCACCCAAUGGAAGCACCGGAUCAUACCAUCGCAGUUUCGCGAGUCACCUAUUCGUCAAACUGCGAUUGACGUGACCACGUAGCCUGUUUUUGCCUCAUAGGCUCCUUGUCCCCAACAAUCUUCAAAGAAACCCAGAAAGGAGGGAAUUUUUCUUGGCCACUCAUUGGAACCCAUCAAACCAUGGCUUGAAGUGCCCACCGACAACUUUCUUUUUCCCUCGCGUGCCAAGAAGGAUCAAUCGUGCACUUCCUAAUGUAGUCACAUUGCAUAUAAUCCCACGAAGUGACACUUCACUGAAAUGCAAAAAAACCACAGAAAAUGGAGGAUUCAAGAAAAUCCCACAAGCCACAUUGUUUAGUGCUAUCAUUCCCAGCACAAGGCCAUAUCAACCCCAUGCUCCAAUUCUCCAAGCGCCUAAUCCACAAAGGCGCCGGAGUCACUUUUGUCACCACCAGAUUCAUGUCCAAGACCCUUCAUGGAUUGUCCUCUAACCCCUCGAUUUCACUUGAGAGUAUCUCUGAUGGCUUCGAUGAUGGCGGCAUGAAGGCCGCCAGUAGCCGCGAAGCCUACCUCGAGCGCUUCUGGAAGAUCGGUCCAGAGACACUGAGCGAAUUGGUCGAGAGGCUGAUCUCUAGUGGCCGGCCACCGAGUUGCAUUGUCUACAACUCGUUCUUGCCUUGGGCUCUUGAUGUGGCCCAGAAGUACGGGCUGGUUGGGGCUGUUUUCUUCACCAUGUCCUGUGCUGUAAGCAGUGUGUUUUACCACUGCCAAAAGGGACUGCUUGAGGUCCCCGUUCGUAAGCAGGUUUUGCUUCCUGGGAUGCCUCCUCUUGAGCCUCAGGAUAUGCCAAGUUAUGUGUCUGAUCCGGAGUCAUACCCAGCUAACCUUGGCGUGCUUGUGGGUCAGUUCUCCAAUCUUGACAAAGUGGACUGGGUGCUUUGCAACACGGUGUAUGAGCUGGAACAAGAAGUAAGUACCCUAAAACUCCUUCGGAACUAAACCAUUUGUGAAUGAAAAGGCUUUAUUUUAAUCUUCUUCUCAGUCUUAUCUAAUUCCUUUGAGAGGGUAAAAUGGGGUCUGAUCAAUGUACGAGGAUUCAUGGACUAUACACACCUUUCACGGCAUGUUUAUUACCGUAUACCUUGCGUGUGUCAAAUUGAACAAUUAUUUGAAGAUAUGGUCGUUGAUAGUGAACAUGACCUGGGACCAUACGAGAAGAUAAGACGAGAACAUGAGUGGUACACGACUUGGAGUUGUCAAGCAGGAAUGGGCAGCGAAUUUGACUUGGCAUGUUAGCACACAUGUACUUGGAAUUGUCUAGCUGGAAUGGCCAGCGAAUAUGACUUUACAUGUUAGUGAAGAUUGAAAUUUCAUGAAUGAACAUGCGAUGCUCAAAUAUUUCCCUAUCAUCAAUCACCUAAUUAGGACAAGAGUUAAGUCCCAUGCUUUGCCUCUCAUCUAUCAUCUUCCUGAUCCAUGAGUCAUCCAACUUUUUCUUACGAGCAUUUAGCUAAAAUUUCGUGACAUUGGCUUUGCCUGGCAGCUAGUGGACUGGUUCAUGAAGGUCAUGCCAUUUAGGACCAUAGGGCCAACAGUGCCUUCCUCCUAUUUGGACAACAGGCUUGAACAAGACACAGAAUAUGGUCUCAGCAUCUUCCAACCAGAACACGACACCACCAUGAAAUGGCUGAGCACAAAGCCAAAAGGGUCGGUUGUGUAUGUCUCUUUUGGGAGUGUAGCAGAGCUAAAGAUUGAUCAAAUGCAAGAAAUUGCAAUGGGACUAAAGAGAAGCAACCGUUAUUUUCUCUGGGUGGUGAGGUCAUCUGAAGAAGACAAACUCCCGCAAGACUAUGCAAAAGAGACAGCCCAAAAGGGUCUAAUCGUAACAUGGUGUCCUCAACUGGAAGUCCUAGCGCAUGAAGCACUAGGGCUUUUUCUGACACAUUGCGGUUGGAACUCAACUUUGGAAGCGCUCACUUUGGGUGUGCCGAUGAUGGCGAUCCCGCAAUGGACCGACCAGCCCACGAAUGCCAAGCACAUAAUGGAUGUGUGGAAGAUGGGGCUGAGGCCACCUGUUGAUGAGAGAGGUGUUGUGAGGAGUGAAGAUAUAGAGAAUUGCAUCAGGGAGAUAAUGGAAGGGGAAAGAGGGAAGGAGAUGAGAGAAAAUGCAGGAAAGUGGAGGAAAAUAAUCAAAGAAGCAGUCAGUGAAGGCGGAAGCUCUGAUAGAAACAUCGAGGAGUUUGUUGCUAGUUUGAUUGAUAAGUUGUAAGAGAAGUUACCUGUGGCAGUAUGGAGAAAAUUCAAGUAACCAAUUCUUGCUUACCACAGGGUAAGGAUGAUAAAUGAUGUUGUAUAAUAGUGACGAUAUUAUUUAUGGUCAUGAG
RNAcentral lists this long non-coding RNA (14308 nucleotides) under Eucalyptus grandis. RNAcentral's name for it is "long non-coding RNA (EGRA_LNC006499)". The record is from RNAcentral. Lineage: Eukaryota; Viridiplantae; Streptophyta; Magnoliopsida; Myrtales; Myrtaceae.